Molecule: non-coding RNA, 24 nt
Filed under: Cricetulus griseus (Chinese hamster)
Lineage: Eukaryota; Metazoa; Chordata; Mammalia; Rodentia; Cricetidae
Source: RNAcentral
UACCUUUUGUGGGAUUCCAGCCAA